UUAACCGUAGGCAACAUCGGAGGGUCAUCGAGGGACAAAGUUGUAUAUUCGAAGGCAACAUCCGAGGGACUAUGAUUUAUUUUAUGAUGAUUUAACCGAAGGGUCUUUGCUAAGUGUAUCCCUACAUUCGCGGGACAUGAUCGUAAUACCGUAAUCGUGGAGUAACAAAGAGAGGUCCGAUAUCACUUAUUUAAAGGCAAAGUUUUACAUUCAAUUAAGUGGCCGUAAUCAAGUAGGUAAUU
RNAcentral lists this long non-coding RNA (242 nucleotides) under Lathyrus oleraceus (garden pea). RNAcentral's name for it is "Pisum sativum (pea) long non-coding RNA (PSAT_LNC027829)". Lineage: Eukaryota; Viridiplantae; Streptophyta; Magnoliopsida; Fabales; Fabaceae. The record is from RNAcentral.